This 1133-nucleotide long non-coding RNA is filed under the name Homo sapiens (human). RNAcentral describes it as "non-protein coding lnc-CSTA-1:1". The record is from RNAcentral. Lineage: Eukaryota; Metazoa; Chordata; Mammalia; Primates; Hominidae.
AUGUCUAAGUCAGAGUCUCCUAAAGAACCCAAACAGCUGCAGACGCUCUUCAUCUGAGAGUUGAGCUUUGAAACAACCGACGAGACUCUGAAGAGCCGUUCUGAGCAAUGGGGACAAUUACCACACACCAACUGUGUGGUAAUAAGAGAUCCCAACACCAAACACUCCAGGGGCUUUGGGUUUGUCACAUAUGCCCUUAUGGAGGAGGUAGAUGCAGCCAUGAAUGCAAGGCCACACAAGGAGGAUGGAAGAGUUGUGGAACCAAAGAGAGCUGUCUCAAGAGAAGAUUCUCAGAGACUAGGUGCCCACUUAACUCUGAAAAAGAUAUUUGUUGGUGGCAUUAAAGAAGACACUGAAGAACAUCACCUAAGAGAUUAUUUUGAAGAGUAUGGGAAGAAUUGAAGUGAUUGAAAUCAUGACUGGACGAGACAGUGGCAAAAAGAGGGGCGUUGCUUUUGUAACCUUUGGCAAAAAGAGGGACUUUGUUUUUGUAAUCAUGGCUCCGUAGAUAAGACUGUCAUUCAGAAAUACCAUACUGUGAAUGGCCACCACUGUGAAGUAAAGAAAGCCCUGUAGUAGCAAGAGAUGGCUAGUUUUUUGUUCAGCCAAAGAGGCUGCAGUGGUUCUGGAAACUUUGGUGGUGGUCAUGGAGGUGGUUUUGGUGGGAAUGACAACUUUGGUCACGGAGGAAACUUCAGUGUUAUGGUGCCUUUGGUGGCAGCUGUGGUGAUGGUGGAUAUGGUGGCAAUAAGGAUGGCUAUAAUGGAUUUGGUAGUGAUAGUGGUUAUGAAGGAGGCAGCCCUAGUUACUCUGGAGGAAGCAGAGGCUACGGAAGUGGUGGACAGGAUUCUGGAAACCAGGGCAGUGGCUAUGAUGGGGGUGGCAGCCAUGACAGCUAUAACAAUGGAGUAGGCGUAAGUGACUUUGGUGGUGAGAGUGGAAGCAAUUUGGGAGGGGGUGGAAGCUACAGUUAUUUCUGAAAAAACAACAAUCAAUCUUAAAAUUUGGACUCAUGAAGGGAGGGAACUUUGGAGGCAGAAUCUCUAUGGUGGUGGAGACCAAUACUUUGCCAAACCACAAAACCAAGGUGGCUAUGGCAGCUCCAGCAACAGCAGUAGCUAUGGCAAUGGCAG